GUUUUUAAUUGAAAUCUGGUAUGAAGGGUUGGAUGAAAUAUUAACUGUUUCUUAAUAAAUUAUUGAAUUUUAUUUUUUAGUUAAAAAGCUAAAAUGUAUAAAAGGGACGAGAAGACCCUAUAGAGUUUUAUAAAUAUUAAUUAAAUAGAUAUUUAUUUUUAAUUAAUAUUUAAUUAAUAUUUAAUUAAUUGGGGUGAUUAUAAAAUUGAUAAAACUUUUAUUUUUUUUAACCAAUAAUUUUUGUUUCAUUGAUCCAUUUUUUAUGAUUAAAAGAUUAAAUUACCUUAGGGAUAACAGCAUAAUUUUUUUAUAGAGUUCUUAUUGGUAAAAAAGAUUAU
RNAcentral lists this ribosomal RNA (338 nucleotides) under Catocha angulata. RNAcentral describes it as "partial 16S ribosomal RNA". The record is from RNAcentral. Lineage: Eukaryota; Metazoa; Arthropoda; Insecta; Diptera; Cecidomyiidae.